Oncorhynchus tshawytscha (Chinook salmon) is the source of this 3761-nucleotide long non-coding RNA. NCBI's taxonomy places the organism in Eukaryota, Metazoa, Chordata, Actinopteri, Salmoniformes, Salmonidae. The record is from Ensembl.
CCCUCAGCCAUCCGAGACUCCCCCUAAACUGAACAAAAAUAUAAACACAACAUUCAACAAUUUCAAAGAUUUUACAGAGUUACAGUUCAUGUAAGGAAAUCAGUCAAUUGAAAUAAAUUCAUUAGGCCCGAAUCCAGUUGCGUAAAGUACUUAAAUAACUUUAAAGUACUACUUAAGUACAGAUACCCCAAAAAACUACUUUUCUUUACUAUUUAUAUCUUUGCCUACUUUUACUUCACUACAUAUCUAAAGACAAUAAUGUACUUUUUACUCCAUACAUUUUCCCUGACAUCCAAAAUUACAUUUUGACUUGAAAAUGGUCCAAUUCACACACUUAUCAAGAGAACAUCCCUACUGCCUUUGAUCUGGCAGACAAAUUAUGCCUGAGUGUUGGUGUGCCCCUGGCUAUCAGUAAAUACAUUUUUUUUUAAACAAUAAAAUUGAGCUUUCUGGUUUACAUAAUAUAAGGGAAGUUGACAUUAUUAAUACUUUUACUUUUUAUACUUAAGUAUAUUUAAAACCAAAUACUUUUACUCCGGUAGUAUUUUACUGGGUGACUUUUACCUUAAUAGUAUAGGACUCAAGUAUCUUUACCUUUACUCAAGUAUGACAAUUGAGUACUUUUUCCGCCACUGCCCUAAUCUAUGAAUUUCACAUGACUGGGAAUACAGACAUGUAACUGUUGGUCAGUAUCUGGUGUGACCACCAUUAGCCUCAUGCAACGUAACACAUCUCCUUCACAUAGUGUUGAUUGUGGAAUGUUUUUGAGAUACUUGAGAUAUCUGUGGCAUUGUGUUGUGUGACAACUGCCCAUUUUAGAGCAACCUUUUAUUGUCCACAGCACAAGGUGCACCUGUGUAAUGAUCAUGCUGUUUAAUUAGCUUCUUGAUAUGCCACACCUAUCAGGUGGAUGGAUUAUUUUGGCAAAGCAGAAAUGCUCACACUCAGGGAUGUAAACAAAUUUGUGCAUCAAAUUUGAGCAAGAUAAGCUUUUUGUGAGUAUGGAACAUUUCUGGGAUCUUUUAUUUCAGCUCAUGAAACAUGGGACCAACACUUUGCAUGUUGCAUUUUAUUUUUUGUUCAGUGUAAAUGCCUCAUGUAAUAUUGUUUAAAGGUGCACUAUGCAGAAAUCACUCCGCCAUUUCCUGGUUGCUAAAAUUCUAAUAUUUCGCUUCAUUUCAGUUUGUGUCAAAACCAGUAAGUAUAGUUUAGUGAAUUAUUGUACCAUCUAAACCGCCGUAAAAUAUAUUUUCCAUAACCAAAAAGAUUGUAUUUUCAGCUGUUUGAAGCUAGUGUCCAAAACCGAAAGUAGUGUCCAAAACCGUAGCUGGGUCUUUCAGCAUGACAAUGAUCCCAAACACACCCAGGCAAUGAAGGAGUGGCUUCGUAAGAAGCAUUUCAAGGUCCUGGGGUGGCCUAGCCAGUCUCCAGAUCUCAACCCCAUAGAAAAUCUUUUGAGGGAGUUGAAAGUCUGUGUUGCCCAGCAACAGCCCCAAAACAUCACUGCUCUAGAGGAGAUCUGCAUGGAGGAAUGGGCCAAUAUACCAGCAACAGUGUGUGAAAACCUUGUGAAGACUUACAGAAAACGUUUGACCUCUGUCAUUUCCAACAAAGGGUAUAUAACAAAGUAUUGAGAAACUUUUGUUAUUAACCAAAUACUUAUUUUCCACCAUAAUUUGCAAAUAAAUUCAUAAAAAAUCCUACAAUGUGAUUUUCCGGAUUUUUUUCUCAUUUUGUCUGUCAUAGUUGAAGUGUACCUAUGAUGAAAAUUACAGGCCUCUCAUCUUUUUAAGUGGGAGAACUUGCACAAUUGGUGGCUGACUAAAUACUUUUGCCCCACUGUAUGUGGAUACCUGCUCGUCGAACAUCUCAUUCCAAAAUCAUGAGCAUUAAUAUGGAGUUGGUCCCCUCUUUGCUGCUAUAUCAGCCUCCACUCUUCUGGGAAGGCUUUCCACUAGAUGUUGGAACAUUGCUGCGGGGCCUUGCUUCCAUUCAGCCACAAGCAUUGAGGUCGGGCACUGAUGUUGGGCGAUUAGGCCAGGCUCGCAGUCUGCAUUCCAAUUCAUCUCAAAGGUAUUUGAUGGGGUUGAGGUCAGGGCUCUGUGCAGGCCAGUCAAGUUCUUCCACACAACUGUUGCCACAAAGUUGGAACCACAGAAUCAUCUAGAAUGUCAUUGUAUGCUGUAGCGUUAAGAUUUUCCUUCACUGGAACUAAUGGGCCUAGCCCGAACCAUAAAAAAACAGCCACCAAACUUUACAGUUCGCACUAUGUAUUGAGCCAGGUAGUGUUGUCCUGGCAUCCGCCAAACCCAGAUUUUUAUCCGUCGGACUACCAGAUUGUGAAGCGUGAUUCAUUACUCCAGAGAACGUAUUUCCAAAGUCCAAUGGUGGCAAGCUUUACACCACUCCAGCAAAAGCUUGGCAUUGCGCAUGGUAAUCUUAGGUUUGUGUGCGGCUGCUCGGCCAUAGAAAUCCAUUUCAUGAAGCUCCCGACGAACAGUUAUUGUGCUGACGUUGCUUCCAGAGGCAGUUUUGAACUUGGUAGUGAGUGUUGCAACCAAGGACAGACUAUUUUUACGCGCUAUGCGCUUCAGCACUCGGUGGCAUCCUAUGACGGUGCCACGUUGAAAGUCUAUGCAUAGUCACUUUAAUUACUCUACCUACAUGUACAUAUUACCUUAAUACCGGUGCCCAUGUACAUUGACUCUGUACCGGUUUGUACCCAUUGUACAUAGUCUUGCUUUUAUUAUUUACUGCUGCUCUUAAAUUACUAGUUCUUCUUAUCUCUUACUUUUUGGUGGGUAUUUUCUUAACUGCAUUGUGACAAAAUUUGUUUUGAGCUCUUCAGUAAGGCCAGGAGAAUGAAUGGCUGUGUUCCCGAUUGUAUAGCCCUGUCAGCAAUGGGUGUUUCUGAAAUAGCCGAAUCCACUAAUUUGAAGGGGUGUCCACAUACUUUUGUAUAUAUAGUGUAGAAGGGCAUAGUACAGAACAUUAUAAGGUCAACCUCAAGAAAAAACUUUUAAAGUUAUAUGGACUCAUCUGCAGAAGCACACUCUGGAGAGGACAUAUCUACUGCUGUGGUGGUCAAGACACUCAGGGGUAUGCUCUUGUACUGUACAGCGCUAUCAGAGGCUGUGUGUGUGUGUGUGUGUGGAACAUAGUUGCAUCUAUUUGGAGAGUUUGCCCCAAGAAAGUCUGAGUUAUGGAAUAGAUUUGUGAGUACCUCACAGGUAAAAACAAUACAUUUUGGAAUUGACCUCUUAGCGGGAAUUUCUCAUCCCACUAUUAAAUAGAAAAACAAGUGGAUAUUGUUCCUUUUGAGAAGUUGAAAACUUUGGUGAAAUCUCUUACGUGCAGUAUACUGUAUCUCCUUUCAAAUGGCUUAAAACAGCCUGAGGCAAGAGUUUGUGGACGGGAUCCUUUUCAAUGGGACAAUGUGUAAACAUCUCCACCUGGUCCAGUCCAGAUGCUGUGGUGCCAGUACGAGCCACUACCCAUGUACCUGGUUCUGUAGUCCUGGCAAACUCCUGCAUUACCUAUGGACCCUGAGGAAUAGCGAUUCAGAGUCCUUGGAUCCACUCCAGCACUUUUCAGAGAGAUCAGUGUUUUCGGUGGCAAAGAAGAUGGCAGCAGGCCAACAUGACAAGCUGGCCAAUCAGGGGACAGCUGAUGUCCCUCUCAAAUGGCAGGUUCCAGAGAGGAUGAAGCAUCCAACUAGACAGGAGUGAUGUGUGAGCGUUGGGACUUAAUCAGUGUUUGGG